Molecule: ribosomal RNA, 1460 nt
Filed under: metagenome
Description: bacterial SSU rRNA
Rfam family: Bacterial small subunit ribosomal RNA
Source: RNAcentral
AGAGUUUGAUCCUGGCUCAGGAUGAACGUUGGCGACGUGUUUAAGGCAUGCAAGUCGAGGGAUCGGCCCACUUUUACUUCGGUAAUAUCGGGUACGGACCGGCAAACGGGUGAGUAACACAUUGAUAACCUACCUUCGAGACGGGGAUAGCCCAGAGAAAUCUGGAUUAAUACCCGAUGGUCAUGGGGGGACAUAAGUCAUUCCCAUGUAAAUCUUUCGAGCUCGAAGAGGGGUCUAUGUCUGAUUAGCUUGUUGGUAAGGUAAAAGCUUACCAAGGCUCCGAUCAGUAGCAGGCGUGAGAGCGUGACCUGCCUCACUGGGACUGAGACACUGCCCAGACUCCUACGGGAGGCUGCAGUCAAGAAUAUUCCACAAUGCACGAAAGUGUGGUGGAGCGACGUCGCGUGCAGGAAGACGCCCCUCGGGGUGUAAACUGCUUUUAUAAGGGAAGAAUUCGUGACGGUACCUUAUGAAUAAGAGGUGGCUAACUCUGUGCCAGAAGCCUCGGUAAUACAGAGACCUCAAACGUUAUCCGGAUUCAUUGGGCGUAAAGCGUCCGCAGGUGGUUUGAACAGUCAGUGGUUAAAUCUUAGAGCUUAACUUUGAGACCGCCACUGAUACUAUCAGACUUGAGGUUGGAAGAGGCAAGCGGAACUAUCGGUGUAGUCGUAAUAAGCGCUGAUAUCGAUAGGAACACCAAAGGCGAAGGCAGCUUGCUAGUACAUACCUGACACUCAUGGACGAAAGCGUGGGUAGCGAAUGGGAUUAGAUACCCCAGUAGUCCACGCCGUAAACGAUGCAUACUAGGUAUUGUGAGUAUCGACCCUCCCUGUGCCGUUCAAAAAAGCUAACGCGUUAAGUAUGCCGCCUGGGGAGUACGGCCGCAAGGUUAAAACUCAAGGAAUAGACGGGGACCUGCACAAGCGGUGGAUCAUGCGGUUUAAUUCGAUGGUACGCGGGAAACCUUACCUGGGCUCAACUACUAGCUGCAAGCUCUCCGAAAGGAGAGCCUCCUUCGAGGGUGCUAGAUAGGUGCUGCAUGGUUGCCGUCAGCUCAUGCCGUGAGGUGUACCCUUAAGUGGGGUAACGAGCGCAACCCUCGUCGUGUGUUAAAUGUACACACGAGACUGCCUACGCAAGUAGGAGGAAGGUGGGGACGACGUCAAAUCAGCAUGGCUCUUACGUCCAGGGCAACACGCAUGAUACAAUGGCCAGUACAAAGGGUAGCCAAAUCGUAAGAUGGAGCAAAUCCCAAAAAGCUGGUCUCAGUUCGGAUUGAAGGCUGCAAUUCGCCUUCAUGAAGUUGGAAUCGCUAGUAAUCCCGAAUCAGAACGUCGGGAUGAAUACGUUCUCAGGUCUUGUACUCACCGCCCGUCAUACCACGAAAGUUGGCAACACUCGAAAUCUCUUUACGGGGAUGAAGGUGGGGUCAGUAAUCAGGGUAAAGUCGUAACAAGGCA